GAUGAACGCUAGCGGCAGGCUUAAUACAUGCAAGUCGAGGGGCAGCAGGGGUGUAGCAAUACACUCGCUGGCGACCGGCAAACGGGUGCGGAACACGUACGCAAUCUACCCAAAACUGGUGAAUAGCCCUCCGAAAGGAGGAUUAAUACACCGUAACUUAAGGAAGUGGCAUCACUAUCUUAAUAUAGCUCCGGCGGUUUUGGAUGAGCGUGCGCCUGAUUAGGUAGNGGUCGGGGUAACGGCCCACCAAGCCUACGAUCAGUAACU
This 267-nucleotide ribosomal RNA is filed under the name uncultured bacterium. Its description in RNAcentral is "partial 16S ribosomal RNA". It matches the Rfam family "Bacterial small subunit ribosomal RNA", at positions 28 to 288 of the family's 1533-position model. The record is from RNAcentral.